CAUUGUUCUCCUUAUCUAAUUAAUUUAUUUAAAGCUAUGCAUUUUCCAGGGAUUACAGCCUUGACUACAUCUCAUAUUUUGAUAGGCAGUGUAUUUAUUUAUUUAUUUCUUAGGCAGUGUAUUUAAUAGUCUCUUAAAAUCCAAAAGGGCCUGCUGCUUGUUUUUUUAUAGGGUGGGAAAUAUCAAUUUUAUUUCUCUAAGUUAGAAUCCCCCCACUUUUGAUAGAGAUUGAAAAUACCAUAUACUUGAGGCCCUAAGCUCUUCUGCCUUGAGAGUGAAGGGGGGUAUGUCUCUCUUAUCUGCUUUGUCCUUCUCUCCUUUAUCUUCUUCACAUUUCAAGGAUCACGUCUUGGUGUCCACGUCACAAGAUACUGAUUAGGAAUCACCUGCCCUCAUCUUCCCAGCUCAGAGGGACAGCCUCCCCAGGAGAGUAAUACCCAGAAACACACCUUUUUCUCAUCAGUGGCUCUUAAAAUGUGCUGAAACCCAUGGUUUAAGUAGGUCCUUUUUUUUUUUAGAUUUUAGGACUCCAUAUUCUAAGAAUGAAGUGACAUCAGAGAAGUAAUUGCUAUCGUGCAAGAUGUUGAAAAGGUAGCAGCGGACCCAGGGCUGAAAGCCUCCUUUGGGAACACCUGUUAGAAGCCACACACCUGCUUCCGGAUGACCUCAGUCCUGGCCAUGCGGGCAUCCAAGGAUGGCGGCUAGCCGUUCAUAAAUCCAGUCCCCUCGGCAUUCCUUCAUCGCAUGCUGGAUCAGAAGGCUCCCUGUUCGGGUUUUGUUCCACCCAAUUUCUGGAGGUGGAAAACGUUGAUGUUUGCUGAGAGCCUGGAAAAGCAGCUCGGCGCACACUAUUAGCAGUUGUGAUGUGUCAAUGUCACGGCCGCAGAGGACUUACUUCUAAGCGUUUAGAAACACUAUUGUCACCCAGAUAUUAAAGGACCACUGCUGAGAGAUGCUGUGAAUUAGAACAUAAAAGGGAAAACGUAUUUGCCUAUCUCACAGGAGUUAUUCGGAGUCAG
This 1019-nucleotide long non-coding RNA is filed under the name Sus scrofa (pig). RNAcentral's name for it is "lncRNA (ENSSSCG00070002980.1)". Lineage: Eukaryota; Metazoa; Chordata; Mammalia; Artiodactyla; Suidae. The record is from RNAcentral.